AGCUCCAAUAGCGUAUAUUAAAGUUGUUGCAGUUAAAAAGCUCGUAGUUGGAUUUCUGGUUUGAUGCGCCUGGCCCGCCACGGUUUACGUGUGUGAGUGCCGGCGCGCGUCUGCCAUCCUUCUAGAGAACGUUCCUACGGUUCAUUCCGGUGGGUUCGCAAUCUAGAUCUUUUACUUUGAAAAAAUUAGAGUGUUUAAAGCAGGCUUUUGCUAUGAAUACAUUAGCAUGGAAUAAUAAUUUAGGACUUUGGUUCUAUUUUGUUGGUUUCCGGGACUGAAGUAAUGAUUGAUAGGGAUUGUUGGGGGUGCUAGUAUUCAGCGGCCAGAGGUGAAAUUCUCGGAUUCGCUGAAGACUAACUUAUGCGAAAGCAUUCACCAAGGAAGUCUUCUUUA
RNAcentral lists this ribosomal RNA (393 nucleotides) under Discomonas sp. RNAcentral's name for it is "partial small subunit ribosomal RNA". It matches the Rfam family "Eukaryotic small subunit ribosomal RNA", at positions 587 to 975 of the family's 1831-position model. The record is from RNAcentral. Lineage: Eukaryota; Cercozoa; Imbricatea.